CCGCCUGGGGAGUACGGUCGCAAGAUUAAAACUCAAAUGAAUUGACGGGGGCCCGCACAAGCGGUGGAUUAUGUGGAUUAAUUCGAUGCAACGCGAAAAACCUUACCUGGCCUUGACAUGCACCGAAUUUGGGAGAGAUUCCUUAGUGCUCGAAAGAGAACGGUAACACAGGUGCUGCAUGGCUGUCGUCAGCUCGUGUCGUGAGAUGUUGGGUUAAGUCCCGCAACGAGCGCAACCCUUGCCAUUAAUUGCCAUCAUUUAGUUGGGCACUUUAAUGGGACUGCCGGUGACAAACCGGAGGAAGGUGGGGAUGACGUCAAGUCCUCAUGGCCCUUAUGGCCAGGGCUUCACACGUAAUACAAUGGUCGGUACAGAGGGUUGCCAACCCGCGAGGGGGAGCCAAUCCCAGAAAGCCGAUCGUAGUCCGGAUUGUAGUCUGCAACUCGACUACAUGAAGUCGGAAUCGCUAGUAAUCGCGGAUCAGCAUGUCGCGGUGAAUACGUUCCCGGGCCUUGUACACACCGCCCGUUACACCAUGGGAGUGGGUUUUACCAGAAGUAGGUAGUCUAACCGUAAGGAGGACGCUUACCACGGUAGUAUUCAUGACUGGGGUGAAGUCGUAACAAGGUAACC
RNAcentral lists this ribosomal RNA (633 nucleotides) under uncultured Methylophilus sp. RNAcentral describes it as "bacterial SSU rRNA". It matches the Rfam family "Bacterial small subunit ribosomal RNA", at positions 869 to 1501 of the family's 1533-position model. Lineage: Bacteria; Pseudomonadati; Pseudomonadota; Betaproteobacteria; Nitrosomonadales; Methylophilaceae. The record is from RNAcentral.